AGACCCCGAGAGCUCGCAGCUCCGGCCCGGCGGCGAUGGCGCGGAGCGUGCGCGUGCUGGUGGACAUGGACGGCGUCCUGGCCGACUUCGAGGCCGGCCUCCUGCGGGGCUUCCGCCGCCGCUUCCCUGAGGAGCCGCACGUGCCGCUGGAGCAACGCCGCGGCUUCCUGGCCCGCGAGCAGUACCGCGCCCUGCGGCCCGACCUGGCGGAUAAAGUGGCCAGUGUGUACGAAGCCCCGGGCUUUUUCCUGGACCUGGAGCCCAUCCCGGGAGCCUUGGACGCUGUGCGGGAGAUGAACGACCUACCGGACCCCCUGCUGAAGUACCACCACUGUGUGGGUGAGAAGGUGUGGCUGCCCCGCCCCUACUCCGCACGUGGAGCUGCCUAAAUCCUGAUUUUAAAAAGAAACCACCAGAAACCCAGAAGUACCGCUGGGUGGAGCAGCACCUGGGGCCCCAGUUCGUAGAACGAAUUAUCCUGACAAGGGACAAGACGGUGGUCUUGGGGGACCUGCUCAUUGAUGACAAGGACACAGUUCGAGGCCAGGAGGAGACCCCAAGCUGGGAGCACAUCUUGUUCACCUGCUGCCACAAUCGGCACCUGGUCCUGCCCCCGACAAGGAGACGGCUGCUCUCCUGGAGUGACAACUGGAGGGAGAUCUUAGAUAGCAAGCGCGGAGCUGCGCAGCGGGAAUGAGCGGGGAUGCCGCGGGCAGCAGCUGGAGCUAAAGGAAGGGCAGGCCCACAGGGGCCACCGCAGAGCCGAGUCGGGGCGGCAUCGUGCUGGUGCCUCUGGCCCCGUGGAGUGGAGCAGGCAGAUACCGUUAAGCGCUGUGCUACCGGGCCCCAGGCCCAGCCACCCGGUACCUCCCGAGAGGCUGUCCCUGGACCCUGGCUGGCAUGGAAAUACAGUGGGAAAACCAGUCGGGACCUUUAAUAAAAGACCUUGGCUUUCUA
Homo sapiens (human) is the source of this 957-nucleotide RNA transcript. It is a transcript of the gene named 5', 3'-nucleotidase, cytosolic, with no coding region annotated. The transcript has 5 exons. The record is from RefSeq and is marked reviewed. NCBI's taxonomy places the organism in Eukaryota, Metazoa, Chordata, Mammalia, Primates, Hominidae.